ACAAAGAUUACCAAGCGUGGGUUCAGGCUGAGGGAUGAGGUGUGUGACUUUUCAGACUCGAAUUCUUUGGACUGACCAUCAGCUCACUAAAGAUGUUACCCCAGUCAAGUUUGCCCUAAUUACUUGAUUAUAGUCAGAUCUGAAAUCGGGGUGCGCGAGAUGCUGGGUGCUUUCAUGGUUCUAUCACUGACACAGCAGUCACUGAGAGUAGCACCUGGUACAGAACAAGACCAAGGCCACAUCAACCAUUGUCACCUGUCUCUGGAAUUCUUACAGUCACUGUGACUCCUCCAGUGUAUGUAUGAUUGUAAAGCUCUCAGCCUAGGUGACAUCUGCCAACAUCCCACAACCUCUUCUCUUCCUUUUCUGGAUGUAUGAAGUCCAGGAUGCCAGGUCCAAACUUGAGC
Tupaia belangeri chinensis (Chinese tree shrew) is the source of this 407-nucleotide long non-coding RNA. RefSeq lists it as uncharacterized. NCBI's taxonomy places the organism in Eukaryota, Metazoa, Chordata, Mammalia, Scandentia, Tupaiidae. The transcript has 3 exons. The record is from RefSeq and is a predicted model, not a curated record.